CAUUAUUGGGGGAAGGAUUCAUUGUAUGCUGUUCCAGUUUGACUGCUAGGAGAGUAAACCUAUUCGUAUGGUUCCUAUUCAACUGUCUACAGCAUUCAUAUGCUGGAGAGGAUUCAUAUGCUUCUCCGGUUCGGUGGUUGUGGUGUCUGCUGCAGUGCUUGGAGUCCUCAGGAAGCGCUAGGAGCAUCCUUUAACGGAGGUACCCAGUCGGGGUGCCAGGCGAUCCGUUACAUUGGUG
Pelobates cultripes (western spadefoot toad) is the source of this 238-nucleotide non-coding RNA. NCBI's taxonomy places the organism in Eukaryota, Metazoa, Chordata, Amphibia, Anura, Pelobatidae. The record is from the annotation of a GenBank genome assembly.